Molecule: ribosomal RNA, 164 nt
Filed under: uncultured bacterium
Lineage: Bacteria
Description: partial 16S rRNA
Rfam family: Bacterial small subunit ribosomal RNA
Source: RNAcentral
UAGGGAAUCUUCCACAAUGGGCGAAAGCCUAAUGGAGCAACGCCGCGUGUGUGAUGAAGGGUUUCGGCUCGUAAAACACUGUUGUAAGAGAAGAAUGACAUUGAGAGUAACUGUUCAAUGUGUGACGGUAUCUUACCAGAAAGGAACGGCUAAAUACGUGCCAC